RNAcentral lists this ribosomal RNA (735 nucleotides) under Triticum aestivum (bread wheat). Its description in RNAcentral is "partial small subunit ribosomal RNA". The record is from RNAcentral. Lineage: Eukaryota; Viridiplantae; Streptophyta; Magnoliopsida; Poales; Poaceae.
UCCGGUGUGCGUCCCUUGCUCUACCGUUUCGCUGUUACGGCGGGGCGGCGGUGGCUCUCCUCCUCGGGGCGGCGGCCCCUCUCUGCCCCUGAUCCCAGAUGCGGCGGCGCGGUGGCGAGGGAGGGGAAGAGGCGAGGCGCUCGUCUCCGCCCCUGAUCCCAAAUGCGGCGACGCGGUGGCGGGGGAGGUGAAGAGACGAGAGGGAGAGGCCGCUCGGGUCGGUGGAGGCUCCGGGGGGGCAAGCAGCUUGACGUAGCGGCGGGGUCGGGAGGCGGCGCCUCGGGUUCGAACGAACAGGGGAUCGGAGAAGGUGCGAGGCGGUGGUAGUUGGAAGAGGUGUGGAGCGUCAGUAGCAGGAGGAAGUGCGGAUGGCAUCUCGACUCUGGGCGACGAACCUAAGAACGACCCCACCUGCUCAACGGAGACAGAACCCUCAGUCAACGGUGCGGAUUGAAGACUCAAUAAUGUUCGUAAACGACGAAGGGUCCGACCUCAAUCUACCAUUGUUUCCUUAAUUUCUCGAGUUAACGGUUGCCGUCGUACUUUACGUCGAUGGCUUUAUGUUUGUACCGAUGGUGGGAUACAAUUUGAAACCAACAUUGUCUUAUAACACUCCUGUACAACGAGAACAUUGUCUUAUUAGACCCUCGUUCAAUAUUAGACCCUCAUGUACAAGAAGAACAUUUUCUUGUACCAAUCUCAACAAUUUGAACGUUUGUAACCUAAAAAUUGACG